This 461-nucleotide ribosomal RNA is filed under the name uncultured bacterium. RNAcentral describes it as "bacterial SSU rRNA". It matches the Rfam family "Bacterial small subunit ribosomal RNA", at positions 339 to 792 of the family's 1533-position model. The record is from RNAcentral.
CUACGGAAGGCAGCAGUGGGGAAUUGUUCGCAAUGGGCGCAAGCCUGACGACGCAACGCCGCGUGGAGGAUGAAGAUCUUCGGGUCGUAAACUCCUUUCGAUCGAGACGAAUGGCCCUUGGGCUAAUCACCAGGGGAAUGACGGUACCGAGAGAAGAAGCCCCGGCUAACUCCGUGCCAGCAGCCGCGGUAAUACGGGGGGGGCAAGCGUUGUUCGGAAUUACUGGGCGUAAAGGGCUCGUAGGCGGCCAACUAAGUCAGACGUGAAAUCCCUCGGCUUAACCGGGGAACUGCGUCUGAUACUGGAUGGCUUGAGUUUGGGAGAGGGAUGCGGAAUUCCAGGUGUAGCGGUGAAAUGCGUAGAUAUCUGGAGGAACACCGGUGGCGAAGGCGGCAUCCUGGACCAACACUGACGCUGAUGAGCGAAAGCCAGGGGAGCAAACGGGAUUAGAUACCCUGGUA